UUGUCAACAUCAAUCUAAAACGUAUAUUGGUCUAUUUAUACUUCUUACAAAUACUAUCGAAAGUCAAAAUAUUAUGCUUGCAGCCUUGUUAAGGGAUAACGAAGUCAUACGGGAAACGUACGUCUGACAUCCCGGCGACAAUAAAUU
Molecule: long non-coding RNA, 147 nt
Organism: Diprion similis
Lineage: Eukaryota; Metazoa; Arthropoda; Insecta; Hymenoptera; Diprionidae
Exons: 3
Source: RefSeq, a predicted model, not a curated record